UGUGAAUUCUCCCUUGCCUUCAUACUGAC
This 29-nucleotide non-coding RNA is filed under the name Mus musculus (house mouse). The record is from RNAcentral. Lineage: Eukaryota; Metazoa; Chordata; Mammalia; Rodentia; Muridae.